UGCUGGCACAGCUCAGGGAAACUGUGCUAGAAAUAACUGUGCUUAUGCAGAGCUGUCAAAAACAGGCUGUCGCCGGUGCCGCUGGGACGGGAGCGCAGCCAGGGCCGCGCUGCCCGGCGGGAGGAGCAGGCCGCGCCGCAGCCCUGCCUUUGUCUGCACACCACGGAGGAGGAGAUGUUCCAUGAAAGCCAGGGAGGAGAUCAGCAAGCAUCUUUGCAGGUCUGAGUGAUUGGGACAGAGCAGCUGUAUGAGAGUUCAGAUUAACAGAUGCUUUGCCAAUGAAAGUCCCUCUCUGAAGUUCAUUUAUAAUUGGAAUAAUUGGGGUUCCAAUCCUGUGCUGACAAGAGAUGUUUGGAAAACAGCCUUAGGAUCCAAGAGUGCAGAAAGCAGCUCACAGGCAGGACAAAGCUGCCACCCAAACCCUGGGGAUGGCCAUCCUUCAAUCCAACAUCUGACUUGUCUGCUUUUCUGCCGCAGAAAACUUUAUUUUGUAGUUAAAACAACCCUCAAGGGUUAAUUCUUUCUUGUUUUCAUGAUUCAUCUCCCAAAUGUGAGUGUAUUACCUUGUUUUCCCUGAACUGGAUACUCCCUUCUUUUUUCCCCAAGCAGAGCUUUGCUGUCAUUUCAGUCCCCACUGCCACGGCUCUCACAGCAUGUUUGUUCACCUAAAAGUAAAUGCUCUGUUAGAAGCAGAAAUCCUUUUUCAAGAAAACAAAAGAACAAAGAAAUAGAGUAUUACAGAAGUGAAGGUAAUUUAUAUUUACAAAAAGGGCCUCACAAAAAACUGUUCACCAGCCCAGUGGUCUUGCAGCCCAAAACAUUUUUUGUUGCUAUUGUUAUAUUGGUUGAAAACAACUUUAUGCUCUUAAAGCUUUAACAAGCACCUUCAAACAUCUCAGUGACUUGUCUGCCUACUUUGCUGUUACAGUUUUCUUCAAAACUACUGAUUUUUCUGGUAGAAAGAAGCAUUGCAAGGUACAAACCCAGCACAGUCAGAGGAGCA
Ficedula albicollis (Collared flycatcher) is the source of this 1003-nucleotide long non-coding RNA. RefSeq lists it as uncharacterized. The transcript is spliced from 3 exons. The record is from RefSeq and is a predicted model, not a curated record. Lineage: Eukaryota; Metazoa; Chordata; Aves; Passeriformes; Muscicapidae.